This 637-nucleotide ribosomal RNA is filed under the name uncultured bacterium. Its description in RNAcentral is "bacterial SSU rRNA". The stretch from base 1 to 546 matches the Rfam family "Bacterial small subunit ribosomal RNA", at positions 338 to 873 of the family's 1533-position model. The record is from RNAcentral.
CCUACGGGAGGCAGCAGUGGGGAAUAUUGGACAAUGGGCGCAAGCCUGAUCCAGCAAUGCCGCGUGUGUGAAGAAGGCCUUCGGGUUGUAAAGCACUUUUAUCAGGAGCGAAAUCUGCAGGGCUAAUACCCAUGCAGUCUGACGGUACCUGAGGAAUAAGCACCGGCUAACUCCGUGCCAGCAGCCGCGGUAAUACGGAGGGUGCAAGCGUUAAUCGGAAUUACUGGGCGUAAAGCGUGCGUAGGCGGUUCGUUAAGUCUGUUGUGAAAGCCCCGGGCUCAACCUGGGAAUGGCAAUGGAUACUGGCGAGCUAGAGUGUGUCAGAGGAUGGUGGAAUUCCCGGUGUAGCGGUGAAAUGCGUAGAGAUCGGGAGAACAUCAGUGGCGAAGGCGGCCAUCUGGGACAACACUGACGCUGAGGCACGAAAGCGUUGGGGANCAAACNGGAUUAGAUACCCUGGUAGUCCACGCCCUAAACGNUGACGAACUGGAUGUUCGUCUACAACUCGGANAUCAGUGUCGAGACUACGACGUUAGUUACGCCGCCGUCGGGUAGGUACGGUCGCGAGACGUAGAACGUACGAAGUAGAGUUAGACGGCGUUGGAGGACGNGCGACGGACGACGACGAGGGAGGAGG